This 434-nucleotide long non-coding RNA is filed under the name Elaeis guineensis (African oil palm). RNAcentral's name for it is "long non-coding RNA (EGUI_LNC064013)". Lineage: Eukaryota; Viridiplantae; Streptophyta; Magnoliopsida; Arecales; Arecaceae. The record is from RNAcentral.
CUGGGCGUCUUCUUCAAUAAAGGUUAUAGAUCCUUCAAUUCUUUGCCGCUUGAGCGGUCCGGCCGAUCCACUGGUCGCUCCCUUUCGGGGCCCUCCAGAGAUGGUGUUAAUGAUCAUUUGAGAGAAAGGAGGGUCAGUACAGAUGCCCUUAUCAUAAACAGGGGGAGCGUGGCAGAGAUCUUCGACCCACCGAUUCAUCUCCUUGAGUCUUCGAUCCAUGAGGUCCUCUCGACUGUGAGUCUUGAGGGUCUUCUGACAGAAUGGAGGUAGAGAUCCUCUGGGGGUGGAAUCAUGAUUAGACUGAGGGCUCUCCACCCUCGGAUUCUCCUUUCCGGGGAAGACGGGGCGACUGACCCAAGUGGCCCGCCCUACUAUCGGAUUUCGACACUUCGAUGAUGUUCUUUCCAGUCGCACUGACACCUACGGCUGUUGUG